GCGCCGGUGGUGCACGGUACACGCGCCUCGUCUCUUCGCCAGUGUUGCACGGAGAAUGAGGAGGCGAGUCCGGGGUUCGACUCCCCGCCGGCGCA
This is a non-coding RNA of Mycena rosella, 95 nucleotides long. Lineage: Eukaryota; Fungi; Basidiomycota; Agaricomycetes; Agaricales; Mycenaceae. The record is from the annotation of a GenBank genome assembly.